Molecule: ribosomal RNA, 467 nt
Filed under: uncultured bacterium
Lineage: Bacteria
Description: bacterial SSU rRNA
Rfam family: Bacterial small subunit ribosomal RNA
Source: RNAcentral
UAAGGAAUAUUGGUCAAUGGACGAAAGUCUGAACCAGCCAUCCCGCGUGCAGGAAGAAGGGGCUCUGCCUUGUAAACUGCUUUUGAAUGGGACGAAAGAGCUAUAUGCGUAUAGUGUUGACGGUACCAUUAGAAUAAGCACCGGCUAACUCCGUGCCAGCAGCCGCGGUAAUACGGAGGGUGCAAGCGUUAUCCGGAAUUACUGGGUUUAAAGGGUGCGUAGGCGGACUGAUAAGUCAGUGGUGAAAUCUCUCGGCUUAACCGAGAAACUGCCAUUGAUACUGUUAGUCUAGAGUACAGAUGAUGUGGGCGGAAUAUGACAUGUAGUGGUGAAAUACUUAGAUAUGUCAUAGAACACCGAUUGCGAAGGCAGCUCACAAAACUGUAACUGACGCUGAGGCACGAAAGUGCGGGGAUCAAACAGGAUUAGAUACCCCCGUAGUCCCUGAGCGGGCUGGCAAGGCGCAU